AGAGUUUGAUCCUGGCUCAGAUUGAACGCUGGCGGCAGGCCUAACACAUGCAAGUCGAACGGUAACAUUUCUAGCUUGCUAGAAGAUGACGAGUGGCGGACGGGUGAGUAAUGCUUGGGAACUUGCCUUUGCGAGGGGAAUAACAGUUGGAAACGACUGCUAAUACCGCAUAAUGUCUUCGGACCAAACGGGGCUUCGGCUCCGGCGCAAAGAGAGGCCCAAGUGAGAUUAGCUAGUUGGUAAGGUAACGGCUUACCAAGGCGACGAUCUCUAGCUGUUCUGAGAGGAAGAUCAGCCACACUGGGACUGAGACACGGCCCAGACUCCUACGGGAGGCAGCAGUGGGGAAUAUUGCACAAUGGGGGAAACCCUGAUGCAGCCAUGCCGCGUGUGUGAAGAAGGCCUUCGGGUUGUAAAGCACUUUCAGUUGUGAGGAAAAGUUAGUAGUUAAUACCUGCUAGCCGUGACGUUAACAACAGAAGAAGCACCGGCUAACUCCGUGCCAGCAGCCGCGGUAAUACGGAGGGUGCGAGCGUUAAUCGGAAUUACUGGGCGUAAAGCGCACGC
RNAcentral lists this ribosomal RNA (567 nucleotides) under uncultured Alteromonas sp. Its description in RNAcentral is "bacterial SSU rRNA". It matches the Rfam family "Bacterial small subunit ribosomal RNA", at positions 8 to 572 of the family's 1533-position model. Lineage: Bacteria; Pseudomonadati; Pseudomonadota; Gammaproteobacteria; Alteromonadales; Alteromonadaceae. The record is from RNAcentral.